RNAcentral lists this long non-coding RNA (709 nucleotides) under Rattus norvegicus (Norway rat). RNAcentral describes it as "long non-coding RNA NONRATT015461". The record is from RNAcentral. Lineage: Eukaryota; Metazoa; Chordata; Mammalia; Rodentia; Muridae.
CCUCUGCUGUCACUCUGCAAAGCUCAUCCAGUUCCUGUCCUGAGUGGGCUCCCCAUUCUCCCUCCCUUAUAGUAACUCUGGGUAAGCAGCCUCAGCUCCCCUACUUGACAUCCUUCCUAGGAUCUGCUUUCCUGGAACAUGGAGUGUCCUCAGGGAUUGCAAUAGGUGAAGUUGGCCUGGGCCUGCCCCUCACUAUGCUGGUUUGUGGUUUUUCUUUGUUUUUGUGCAGGCUGGUACACACCCCCGAAGGAAGAUGGCUAACCCUGGAGUAUCAUCCCCUUCCUCCUCCCCAGGCACCACUGGACCAAUUACCUUUGAAUGCUGUAUUUGGAUCUCACGCUGCCUCUGGUUCCCCUCAUUUUUCCUGGACGUGAUAGCUCUGCCUAUUGCAGGACAAUGAUGGCUAUUCUAAACGCUAAGGAAAACCAACCACCCACAACACUGAACUGUCUCAAGUACUCAAGACUGACUACAGACCAACCACCUCGCUGGAACCCUUGCUAGCAGGCAUUCUUAUAAAGAAACUCUCAAGCCUCCUUAUAUUGCUGGAAACUCAGCUGUGCUCCAGACUAGAGCCUCCUUACCUAUGCUAUGGGUUUUAAUUUAUUUUCUCUUAUUUCAUGUACACUGCUCUUUUUGGUUACAGUGUAUGAUGGAUGUGUAUGAAAAAAAUGUAUCUUUGGGAAAACAAUUACAGUUUGUUAAUUUG